Molecule: ribosomal RNA, 465 nt
Filed under: Vreelandella stevensii
Lineage: Bacteria; Pseudomonadati; Pseudomonadota; Gammaproteobacteria; Oceanospirillales; Halomonadaceae
Description: partial 16S ribosomal RNA
Rfam family: Bacterial small subunit ribosomal RNA
Source: RNAcentral
CCUACGGGGGGCUGCAGUGGGGAAUAUUGGACAAUGGGGGGAACCCUGAUCCAGCCAUGCCGCGUGUGUGAAGAAGGCCCUCGGGUUGUAAAGCACUUUCAGUGAGGAAGAACGCCUGGUGGUUAAUACCCAUCAGGAAAGACAUCACUCACAGAAGAAGCACCGGCUAACUCCGUGCCAGCAGCCGCGGUAAUACGGAGGGCGCGAGCGUUAAUCGGAAUUACUGGGCGUAAAGCGCGCGUAGGUGGCUUGAUAAGCCGGUUGUGAAAGCCCCGGGCUCAACCUGGGAACGGCAUCCGGAACUGUCAAGCUAGAGUGCAGGAGAGGAAGGUAGAAUUCCCGGUGUAGCGGUGAAAUGCGUAGAGAUCGGGAGGAAUACCAGUGGCGAAGGCGGCCUUCUGGACUGACACUGACACUGAGGUGCGAAAGCGUGGGUAGCAAACAGGAUUAGAUACCCGAGUAGUC